This 155-nucleotide unclassified non-coding RNA is filed under the name uncultured Sordariomycetes. RNAcentral's name for it is "sequence contains ITS2". The record is from RNAcentral. Lineage: Eukaryota; Fungi; Ascomycota; Sordariomycetes.
CAACCCUCAAGCACUGCUUGGUGUUGGGUCCCUACAGUGAACUACAUGUAGGCCCUGAAAUCUAGUGGCGGGCUGGCUAAGGCUCUGAGCGCAGUAGUUUAUUCGUCGCUUAGGAGGCGUAGCAAGUUCCGGCCGUUAAAAACCCCCCACUAAAA